Phoenix dactylifera (date palm) is the source of this 2235-nucleotide RNA transcript. It is a transcript of the gene named Stress responsive alpha-beta barrel domain protein, with no coding region annotated. Lineage: Eukaryota; Viridiplantae; Streptophyta; Magnoliopsida; Arecales; Arecaceae. The record is from RefSeq and is a predicted model, not a curated record.
UCCACCCGUUGCCCUUCCGCAUCCCCUCGCUCUCCUCCUCCUCCUCAGAAAAAUCGCAUCAAAAACAGAGCAGUGAGAAGCGAAGUGGAACAAGAAAACUUAGGAGAAGAAGCAGAGAAACUAUUUUCCCGAAAUACUCACCUCCUUUCCCAGAAUGCCCCUUUGUAUCCAAACCGUCCCCGUUCCCGCGUACCAUCAAACCCUAGCCCCGAUUUCUCCCAAAGGCUUCGUCGUCUGUAAUCCCAAAAGACCGCUCCAUGAUUUGGAAAUUCUUACAGUUUUGAGAUCAAAAAUAGGAGGAAGUAUUCAUUUGAGGCGGAAAAAUCAUGGAACAAAGAUUUUCUUAGGUUGCAAUGGGUUGGUGUCCGCUAAUGAUGCAUUAGCAGAUGAUCGUGUGAAGAAAAGAAAUAUUGUGGAGCAUAUUUUUCUUCUGAGAGCAAAGUCAGAUUUAUCUGAUGUUGAAGAAAAAGACAUGCUUGAUCACCUUUAUACAUCACAAUAUCAGAUGAGUGGAAUUAUUGCAAUAUCAUUGGGUUGCAUAGAAGAUCCAAAUGUUGAUAAUUUUACCCAUGCAGUAUAUAUGCGUUUUCAAAAAAAGGAAGACAUUGCAAGGUUCUAUGUUAACUCUUACUACUCUCGAGUUCUUAAGGAACACGUCACACCAUAUUGCUAUGGAUCAGUUUCUGUGGAUUAUGAAUCUGAAGUAGAGGAUGAUAUUCUUUCCAUAUUCCGGAGGGGAGAGGAGUUCAACCAUGGCGUGGAGUGUAUACUUUUGAUAUCUAUCUUUGAUACUGCACCUGGAGAUGCUAUUGAAGAUGCAUUAGCUACUCUUCAGAACUUGAUUUUACAAUUUCGUCCCUUUAUUGUACAGGCAACACAAGGUAUACAAAAUAAGGACUAGUCACUUUACAGUUGUUGUUGUUUUUGUGGUGCACGUGCACACAUAAUAUUGCUUGUGUUAUUAAAGGUUAUAAUCUCAAACUCACAGAUAGCGAGUACACACAUGGUGCAGUCAUACGCUUUCCAUCAUUUGAGGCUUUGGAGGCUUUCAGGGAAAGCACAGAAUACAAGGAUAUGUGGAGGUUGAAGUUCCGUCCAAUCAUCAGAAAAGCUGUUCUGACACAUUUUUCAGUUGAUCCUGUGGGCACUGAAUUAAUGUAGUAUAGCUCAACAGUUUGGUUUUUCUGAUCUUCUGGAUCAGGUGCUGUCAGACCAUUGCUGAAUGCAUCGGCGCAAAGUAUCCAGUGAGGAAAGCUCUAAUCUCUUAUGCUUGCUGCCUGAGUUGUUACUAACUGUCUUGUCCUAAUUUCUGUAUCCAGUUAUGCAAAUACUUCUAUAAUUUCUUUAUAUAGGAAAAAAAAGAAGAAAUUCUAAAAAAAUUACACUCCUUUCAACUGUAGUAUACUUGUCUUACAGAAAGCAAUAAUAACAAGAAGUUCAAUUGUAUAAACUGCAAAGAAACCGUGUCUCUUGACCUCUAGAGGGGGAGGACUUGGAACACAGGUUGAACCUUAUCAGUUGUGCAGUGGGUUCGGUCCCUGAGGCACCAAUCUCUUGGACACCCCAUAUAUGGGGCUGAAAUCAUCGUCAUCAUCGGGCUCUUGCGAAGGAGAUAUGUUGGAGAAAUAACCCAUGCUUGGUGCCGAGUGCUCACCUCCCCACCUCUGUACCUCUCUGUUCAUAAUUCUGCGGCCAUGACUGAAACUAUCGAGCGGCUCAACGAGCAGAAGUAUGAGGAGGAAGAGGAACAUGGGUGGCAGAGUAGAUCUUUGGGUUCUCAUUCUUGUAAUAUGAGAAGUACAAGCAGCUGAAGACAGAAAGAGGGAGAGAGGGAAGGAGAGCAAGAUUGAAUUGAGCUCAGUGGGGCUAUAGACAGGUGGGGAAGUCUAUUAAUAUAGAACCUGCUCCUGUGGUGGGGAGAACACAGCCAAGUAGGGAAAAUAAGCUACUAGGAACUGUACCAAAAUAUCCUUCCAAAGUUUUCAAAUUGCCUUCAUCUUGCUAUUGCUUCUUCUAAAGUUCAGGGGUCAAUUUUGGCAGCCUCAAAUAAAUGUAUGACCUAGUGAUUGAAGGUGGGGGAAGUCUAUGUGUCAUAGACUAUUGGUGUUUGACUAACAUGUAGAGGGGAAGAUCCUCUAUUUCCCAUUUGGCUUUAUGCAGGUUAUAGGCUGAAUAUUAAAAUCUGUAGUAGUACAGAUAAUUGUCAUAAUCCUUAUAAAAUGAUCUUCUUAGCUA